AAAACACAGCGAUAUGCAUCUCACAAAUUUGGUCGGGUGGCAUUUCUACCUCGUUUAUUUACCCUUGCAUCAAUCUUCCAUAGGCGAAGUCCAAAUACAAAAUUAAAUAAACUUUACACGUUAUUUAUUUCUGUAAUUGCAAAGAGUUGUCUAUUUUCUGUUACAAAUCAAGGAUGAUAUAGAGGCGCGGGAUAGCAAAAUAAUCACGAAAUUAGAGAUGGAUUUGGAGGAAAUAAUUAGCUGAGAAGCCGAUGUUAGAGGUUUCGACGUUUCUAAGAGAAUGUUUUGGUCAGUGGAAUUAUUGGAAGUGAUCAAAACUGGAGAUAUGCGGCGAAGCAAUUUGUGAAGGUUUAUCCUAGCGAAGUUGUUGUGCUUUAUGAGUUCGAUGUUGUCUGAUUUUGCCUUUUCUUUUGUUUGAUUGUGUUAUUGCCUAUUCGUUUCCAUUGUUGUUCAUUAUCAUCAAGCAAAAUGCAAAUUCUUGAUGUUAUAGUUUAGUUUCGAUGUCCAAGGUCUCAGGGCUUAUUGAUUGUGGUAAAUUUUGUGUAUUGAAUUAUUGAAAGUUAAGAAUGCCUCAAUGAUGACAUAUAACUGAUGAGGCUUCUUAGUUUGUUAUGAGUAACUACUUGAGUCGAAACAAGCUUGGUCUCAUCUGCGGUGCUAAGUUAUUUUAUGAUACAAUGCAAACGGCAAGGGCACUUUAUCGUCUUUUACAUAUAAAUCUUCUCUUCGUUGGUGCUUUAGAACUUCUCGAAAUGUAGUAACAUAGUGUUUAGCUCUAUUGCUCGAGCACGGAAUAAUGCACAUCUUAUUAGUGCUCAUGAGAUUACAUAAUUCUGUACUAGAUAGACCUUGAUUAAUCGAAAUUCUGAAGCUAUGUUUAUUUUAGUAUUCUUUCAAAUAAAACUUGUUUUACUGUCAUUGCUAGAAAGUAGAUGAAUGAAGCCAAAAGCUUUAAAUGUAAUGUUUCAAAUCAAGUUGGUAUAUCCAGGCAGUGAAUCCAACGCUUCAAUGUUGACACUCGGUGGAGUUGACGCUAUGGGGAAGAGAUUAGCCGAUGAGGUCUGUUUAUAUCCUACAAAAGAGACUUUUUUUCAUUAUAUAUCGUAAUCUCCACAUGAAUCAUCAAUAUAUGAUCACCUUAGUUCUUGUUUUCACCUUCUAUCCAUCAAGCAUAAAUGACUAGGUCACUAGAGCCUUCACUAGAUCAAAAUCUCCUUUAGAAAUACAGCUUAAAUCAUCAUUUUAAUGACUGAAUCUCUAGCUGAUUUCUGCUGUUGUUUGUCAUUCAAAUCUUGAGAAGAAUUCUUUUGUGGGUCACUCUCUUAUGCUGUGCUUUACCAACAAGAUUUGACAAGAAAAGAUUCUGACAAAAAUGGCGAAUGUAGAGAAAACAAGAGGGAUAAUAGCUGGACUUGAACCUAUGAAUUUCAUGACCUCCGUAACACCUCGUCUUUGAGCUAGAGGUCGCAGACAGGUUGUCCUUGUUAGAUGUCUUCUCUUUCACUCAGAAUGGAUUUAUUGCAAUUUUCUUGGACUGUCUUAUGCAUCAGUUGGCCUACGAUUGCUUUCGACAAUGUGUACUUGAUAUAUGCAUGAUCUAAAAUAUGCAUCUCAUGUGUAGAUUUAUCUUCUCUUUCCGAGAAAUUCUAUUGCACAUCACAUGCCUUGUACUUGAUCAUUUGAUCGAUCAUUUAGAUUGCUUCUAUGCAUGCUCGAAUCAUUUGCUUUCUCCAAGCUGUGAUGAUCAAGUUCAUGUCACUUGUGAGUCGCCUUUUCUUCCAAGUGUUGAGUUUUUACAUAAAACUACUGAUUCUUAAUCUCGUUCCAGAUCUGCAUUGCAGUUGUUUAUAAGGUGCGGAGCCUUAGCAACCAUGAACCACCAGUUUCGAUCGUAUCCUUGUUUUAUUCGAACCAUCAUCAUCUCUUUAAGUAUAUCAUUUUUUCUCAGAUUGGUUGCAACCAUGACAGGUUUUACGCAGGUUUCAGUACAAUCUACAAGGGCCUCUCGCCUACACCACGAUUCAGGCAAGUAAUCGGACACUAUCAGGUGAUCGUGUAACAUAUGGAGUAUUGUUUUCUCGAGCCAACGAGGAAUGAGUUACUGAAGUAAUGGUGAUUUUUGCCUAUGUAGGUUCAAACUUACUUUGCAUCAUCUCUCAUACUACAACAUAUGACUGUCCACUUCCAAUUUAACCUCUAUUGUUAAUUUUGUUGAAAAGCAUGACGACGCCCAUUCGCAGGCCGGCGAGUGGGCGUCACGCCUCGCGCCAGAGCUCGCCAGCUUCAUCGAGGCGGAGGGACACACGACGUGACGGGAGGGCUGCAUCACUAUCUCGAUGAUAGCUCGUCUCUCUGAGACGAAUCCGAGCCCGCAUCGAGAUGGCGAUGCGGAUGCUCUUAAUUGCUUUUGGAAGACGAUCUAAGAUAGAUCAAGGUUCUUCCUUGUUAAAAUUUAGAGGCAUGAACUGUAUCUACCUCAUACUCUAAGGUGGCGUUCGGUUGUCAUGACUAAUAUCAUGAGACUAUCCAUCUAGGAUUAAGUUGUGAGAAUAUUUUAGUUGGAGGGGGAGGCUAUGACUAAUUAUCAUGAGACUAUUCAUCUAGGAUUAAGAUGUAGGAUUCAAUCUUAUUAACCAAACAUGAUACAUAUUUAAUCAUAGAUUUAAUCUUAGCAACCGAACACCCCAUAAACGUAUCCUUUAUAUAUUGGGGACAUCUACCUAGAGAUAGUUAAGUGUAAAAAAAUUUAUAACUAGAAUAAGUUAUAUCCAAAGUGCAAAAUUUGAUCCCCAAUAAGGUCCCCGUGCUAUCAAACUUCAUGAUUUUUAACGAUCUUUAAAAUUAAUAAAAAAAAUGCAAAAUUCUAUAAUUUUUAGAAUAAUAUUUAUAGCUUGUCCAAUUUUUUGAAUAUUUACCCUUUCAUUAUUUCACAUUUGGAUUUCUUAAUAUAGUUUGUCCUUCACUAGUACUCCCUUCGUUCCUUCAUAGUUGAGUCAUUUUUCCAUUUCGAGAAGUUCCUUUGUAGUUGUGUCAUUUCCACAUAUGAUAACUUUUUCUCUUUCUUAUUUACUCUCUCUUACUUUAUUCACUUUAUACUUUAUUUUUUCAACCUUUUCUUCUCUUUUAUUUUUUUUAUCUAUUUAUUUAACACACUUAAUAUUACUUUCUAAAAUUCUGUGUCGAAAACUUUUGCCUCAAAUAUUAAGAAACGGAGGGGGUACUUAUUAUUAUUAAAAUAUAAGGAGUACUUUAACUUUUAAGUGAGUCGUUAGUUCCCGAAAAAUGUCGUAAUAGAAUUAAUGUGUGGACAUAUGGGAAAUUGGGCUUAGACAUAUAGGGUUUAUGAUGAUUUCAAUGAAUAUUAAAAAUAGAGUGUUGAUAAUCAACCAAAAUUUGGACAACCAAAUAAGGAUAUAUUAGUAAUUUUAUGUAUUAGUUAUAUAUUAAAAUAUUAAAUGCAGUUAGUGGAUAUAUUAAAAUGACUAUAUUAUCCUUCAGCCUUUUUCAAUUUUUGAACUCCCUCCCUUUUAGGAUUUUUCAAAUUUGAAUUUAAAGAUAUGGAUAAAAAAGUAAAAAAUUAAUUCACAAAUUUUUAAAACAUGACCUCAAUGUUCUGCACAUUUCAAAUUAAAUUAAAGUAAGAUGUACCAGAACAUAUUUAUAAUAUUAUGUACUGUACAAAUUAUAUUAAAAUAUUAAUUAAUAUAUUAUAUAAAAAUACUGUGUACACAAUAUUUUAGCACUUUUACUGUUUUUACGAUUUUAAAUAUUGAAUGUGUUGCAAAACAAAGCUAAUUUGAUGGUACACUAAUACACAACCAUAAUGCUUUAAAUUAAGAGAGAGAACAUAAUACUGUGUUUUAUUUUUAAAAUUCAUCCAAUUUUUUGGAUUAAUCCAUUCCAUCAAAUAUAGCUCGACCCAUCCAAUUAUUUUGCUAGAUUCAUCAAAUUUAUCAUCUUCAUCAAUUUUUACUUAUUUUUUGGGAUUCAUUUUGUUAAUCCUGAAAAUCGACCAUCCGUUCAUCUUCCAAUAUCGAACACAAUAAAAAAUCCAAAAAAACAAAAAAUCGAAGAGUCCCAAAUCUGCAAAAAUCCAACAAAAUUGAAGAAUAUCCUAAAACUUGCAUUCUCCAACUUUGAAAUUAUAACUUCAUAUCAAAAAUUAAACAUUGACAGCAAUAAAACUCACAAACCUAAAAAUAAAAAUGCAAUUCCCAAUCAAAAAUUUCAAAAUCAAAAUGCAGAGAACAGCAAUCCAUAACUCAAAUGCAAUUCUAUCUUCAAACCCACAAACCCAUAUCCAAAAAGUUAAAGUCUGAAAAUGGCUCAAGAAGGUAAAGACACCUCUCUUCACCGCCAAAACUCCGCCACGUCGGAGGACCAUACCAAAAUGGUGGGUGGCGCCGUGGCGGCGAGGUUAGAAAACCCUAGAUUCCCUAAUUGAAAGUUGAGGAAUGAGGGAAAGAGAAGAGAAAGUGCGAAUAGGGAAAAA
This is an RNA transcript of Salvia splendens (bonfire salvia), 4492 nucleotides long. RefSeq lists it as uncharacterized. NCBI's taxonomy places the organism in Eukaryota, Viridiplantae, Streptophyta, Magnoliopsida, Lamiales, Lamiaceae. The record is from RefSeq and is a predicted model, not a curated record. The transcript is spliced from 4 exons.